ACUCCUACGGGAGGCAGCAGUGGGGAAUAUUGCACAAUGGGGAAACCCUGAUGCAGCCAUGCCGCGUGUGUGAAGAAGGCCUUCGGUUGUAAAGCACUUUCAGUAGGGAGGAAGGUAGUGUAGUUAACACCUGCACCUAUUUGACGUUACCUACAGAAGAAGCACCGGCUAACUCCGUGCCAGCAGCCGCGGUAAUACGGAGGGGUGCGAGCGUUAAUCGGAAUUACUGGGCGUAAAGCGCAUGCAUGCGGCCUGUUAAGUCCAGAUGUGAAAGCCCGGGGGCUUAACCUCGGAAUUGCAUUUGAAACUGGCAGGCUAGAGUCUUGUAGAGGGGGUAGGAAUUUCAGGUGUAGCGGUGAAAUGCGUAGAGAUCUGAAGGAAUACCAGUGGCGAAGGCGGCCCCUGGACAAAGACUGACGCUCAGAUGCGAAAGCUGGGGAGCAAACACGGAUUAGAUACCCUGGUAGCACA
This 471-nucleotide ribosomal RNA is filed under the name uncultured bacterium. Its description in RNAcentral is "bacterial SSU rRNA". It matches the Rfam family "Bacterial small subunit ribosomal RNA", at positions 335 to 797 of the family's 1533-position model. The record is from RNAcentral.